UACAUCCGAGCCAAUUUUGAA
Molecule: non-coding RNA, 21 nt
Filed under: Caenorhabditis elegans
Lineage: Eukaryota; Metazoa; Nematoda; Chromadorea; Rhabditida; Rhabditidae
Source: RNAcentral